GAUGAACGCUGGCGGCGUGCCUAAUACAUGCAAGUCGAGCGAACGGACGAGAAGCUUGCUUCUCUGAUGUUAGCGGCGGACGGGUGAGUAACACGUGGAUAACCUACCUAUAAGACUGGGAUAACUUCGGGAAACCAGAGCUAAUACCGGAUGAUAUUUUGAACCGCAUGGUUCAAAAGUGAAAGACGGUCUCGCUGUCACUUAUAGAUGGAUCCGCGCUGCAUUAGCUAGUUGGUAAGGUAACGGCUUACCAAGGCAACGAUGCAUAGCCGACCUGAGAGGGUGAUCGGCCACACUGGAACUGAGACACGGUCCAGACUCCUACGGGAGGCAGCAGUAGGGAAUCUUCCGCAAUGGGCGAAAGCCUGACGGAGCAACGCCGCGUGAGUGAUGAAGGUCUUCGGAUCGUAAAACUCUGUUAUUAGGGAAGAACAUAUGUGUAAGUAACUGUGCACAUCUUGACGGUACCUAAUCAGAAAGCCACGGCUAACUACGUG
Molecule: ribosomal RNA, 497 nt
Filed under: uncultured bacterium
Lineage: Bacteria
Description: partial 16S ribosomal RNA
Rfam family: Bacterial small subunit ribosomal RNA
Source: RNAcentral